AUUGAACGCUGGCGGCAUGCCUUACACACGCAAGUCGAACGGCAGCACGGGUGCUUGCACCUGGUGGCGAGUGGCGAACGGGUGAGUAAUACAUCGGAACAUGUCCUGUAGUGGGGGAUAGCCCGGCGAAAGCCGGAUUAAUACCGCAUACGAUCUACGGAUGAAAGCGGGGGACCUUCGGGCCUCGCGCUAUAGGGUUGGCCGAUGGCUGAUUAGCUAGUUGGUGGGGUAAAGGCCUACCAAGGCGACGAUCAGUAGCUGGCCUGAGAGGACGACCAGCCACACUGGGACUGAGACACGGCCCAGACUCCUACGGGAGGCAGCAGUGGGGAAUUUUGGACAAUGGGCGAAAGCCUGAUCCAGCAAUGCCGCGUGUGUGAAGAAGGCCUUCGGGUUGUAAAGCACUUUUGUCCGGAAAGAAAUCCUUGGCCCUAAUACGGUCGGGGGAUGACGGUACCGGAAGAAUAAGCACCGGCUAACUACGUG
Molecule: ribosomal RNA, 486 nt
Filed under: uncultured bacterium
Lineage: Bacteria
Description: partial 16S ribosomal RNA
Rfam family: Bacterial small subunit ribosomal RNA
Source: RNAcentral